GCUCAGGAUGAACGCUGGCGGCGUGCCUAAUACAUGCAAGUCGAACGCGAGCAGCAAUGCUCGAGUGGCGAACGGGUGAGUAAUACAUAAGUAACCUGCCCUAGACAGGGGGAUAACUGCUGGAAACGGCAGCUAAGACCGCAUAGGUAUGGACACUGCAUGGUGACCAUAUUAAAAGUGCCAAGGCACUGGUAGAGGAUGGACUUAUGGCGCAUUAGCUGGUUGGUGAGGUAACGGCUCACCAAGGCGACGAUGCGUAGCCGACCUGAGAGGGUGACCGGCCACACUGGGACUGAGACACGGCCCAGACUCCUACGGGAGGCAGCAGUA
This 330-nucleotide ribosomal RNA is filed under the name uncultured bacterium. Its description in RNAcentral is "bacterial SSU rRNA". It matches the Rfam family "Bacterial small subunit ribosomal RNA", at positions 22 to 356 of the family's 1533-position model. The record is from RNAcentral.